This is a non-coding RNA of Cordylochernes scorpioides, 73 nucleotides long. Lineage: Eukaryota; Metazoa; Arthropoda; Arachnida; Pseudoscorpiones; Chernetidae. The record is from the annotation of a GenBank genome assembly.
UCCAGGGUAGCCUAGUGAACAUGGUAUUUGGUCGGUAAGCAUAACACUGUGGGUUUGAUUCCCAUUCCUGGAC